This is a long non-coding RNA of Acanthopagrus latus (yellowfin seabream), 2204 nucleotides long. RefSeq lists it as uncharacterized. NCBI's taxonomy places the organism in Eukaryota, Metazoa, Chordata, Actinopteri, Spariformes, Sparidae. The transcript is spliced from 3 exons. The record is from RefSeq and is a predicted model, not a curated record.
UCAGCCAAUCAGGGAGCAGGAAAGAAUGAGGAGACAUAAUAUUAAUAUUUAUAUUAUAUUAAUUAACAUUAAUAUUAUAUAUAACAUAAAAUGUCUGUUAAAAUAACUCUUAGAUGAUUUAGAACUGGAGGAAGGAGGUCGGAGCCAGCUCAAAGUUAACACUUAAGUUAACUUCAAGUUUAAUCUUGUACAAGAGGCGCAAUCAUAGAGCAACAACACAGGUUUGUUACAGAGGAAAGGCUCAGAUAGCGAGGAGUCUGCAUGCAAAGAGGAAGUCACGUAAACACAGAAAGUUCAGACAGUGAGAAUACCACAUGUGAAAGUUCAGAGAGGGGUGAGUACUCACUUCUUUAAACUAGGGUAGAAAAACAAGUUGUAUUAAGAGGUGCAACACCUCAAAUCAAAUGUCCCUAUAUGUACAAAACUUCCAUCACAAUGUCGUUUUCAUCUUGUGAGUCUAUAAACUCCAGAAGUAAAGAUCUGAUGGUGAAAGUGAAGCAUGAUAUUAUAUAUUAUCACAUCCAGACCUCAAUACAGAAGAUUAGCAAUUGAGCAAACAUACUUAUGUAGCCAAGUGGAUAGGGGUUACUGUGUUUCUUUGUAUGUGCUGUGCCUAAUGGGAUGUGUAGUUUCACUUUCGGGCCAGCCUGGUGGGAAAUCUCGCGAGAAUGACGAAAUCACAUGAGACUUCAUGCGCGCGAACAGCAGUCUCCUCAGCGCGGGCAAUGGCGAAGUGUGUAUUCCUUGCGUGUAUGAAGAGAAACGGAUAAAUCCGGUAACACAGAGAGAAUACUUGUUGCAGUUAAAGAAUUAGAGUGAGACCGAGCUGACAGACUGACGUUGGUGACCAGAAACUUCACGUUUAUUUGUCGUCGGUAAAGAGCGUGUUUACAUUGUGUCCGCUGCACCGGAAUAAAACUAGAGAACCACGGGUCAGCAGGGGAGAUAGAGAGCUGUGUGUGUUACAUCCGGGAGAGGGGUGAGGCUCUCAAGCUACAAGCUAGGAAAAGAAAAUACAGCCACUGCUGUUGUCUGUUUUGUACUGACAGUUAUAAAUUAAGUCAGAAGUCAGAAAGGAAAAAGAAACAGGAUUUUAUUUCUACUUUUAUUAUUUGAUUGUUAUAAACAUCUGUCUCAAAAUUAGCAAAUUCAUGCUGUCCUUGUUUGAGGUCAGUCGGGGUAUUAAAGAUCCUCUAAAAUAUAUUUCAGUGUGUCCGAUCUUAUCCUUUAUGAUCCGGCUACACUUAGUUACAUUCCCUCAGUGAAAUGAGGAAGCUUGCCUGAGAAGUAUGAUCGAGAGCGUCACGUGCACCUCUGAUCACAUGUUGCUCCUCCUGAACCACAGACAGAGUCCAGUUCUCAGCACCGUGUCGUGGAUCAGUGACUAAAGACUGUGAGAUGAUGGAACUCACAUCUUUGUGAUGAUAAAUAUAUCAGUGCACUGACUUAAUGAGCAGCACUCACAUUCUAAUAACUCUGGUUCUGAUCAUCAGUUCUGGUUGCAUUUCUUCUUCUUCUCUGUUUGUGCUUGUGUUGCGAGGCUGCUAUGGAAGCUCCAUAUGGUGAGGAAACGUCUUUAUCUGCCAGCAGAGAUAAGAUGUUGCUGUUCUAGCAGCGUUAGAUAACAGGAAGUUCAGCCCGUCCCUGAACUCUGUCGUCAGCUCCACCAACAUGCUUCCAUCUGUCUGUCUGUCUGUCUGUCUGUCCAACACUCAGCACACUAAACCAGCGGUAUUCAACUAAAAUUUGCACAAUUAGAGAAGUCCUGAAGUGAAGAUCCGGGACAUCAUAAUGCGUAACUUGUGUUGUGAUAUACAGUUUAUUAGCCUCAUUGUUGUAUCAACAUCUCCAUGUAAUCAACAACUGACUGAAAAAUCCAAUAAAGAAUUCACAAUUCAAAAACAUUUUGACAGUAUUUAUCGUCACUUAACAGGGCUGUGCAAAACGUCCGGGGCUUUAGCCCCUCAGACAGUGUUGCCUCAAUUACCUUGAAAAAGUAAUCUGAUCACUGAUUACUCCUUUAAAAUGUACAGUGUAGUAACGCACAGUGACUUGAAUAGCGCUGUCCCCAUCUCCUCCAGAUAUAUGGUUAUAAAUCUUGUUAACUGCCCUUCAAACAUUGUGUCCAUCACUUCAGUCACGCGUUCUUUUAUUGUUUCUGCAUCUGAGAAUGGCUUCUUGUGCUUACCCAAAAUCCACAGCAC